This 329-nucleotide unclassified non-coding RNA is filed under the name soil metagenome. Its description in RNAcentral is "partial contains 5.8S ribosomal RNA, internal transcribed spacer 2, and large subunit ribosomal RNA". The stretch from base 1 to 120 matches the Rfam family "5.8S ribosomal RNA", at positions 35 to 154 of the family's 154-position model. The record is from RNAcentral.
GAUGAAGAACGCAGCGAAAUGCGAUAAGUAAUGUGAAUUGCAGAAUUCAGUGAAUCAUCGAAUCUUUGAACGCACAUUGCGCCCUCUGGUAUUCCGGGGGGCAUGCCUGUUCGAGCGUCAUUAUAACCACUCAAGCUCUCGCUUGGUAUUGGAGUUCGCGAUCUCGCGGCUCCUAAAAUCAGUGGCGGUGCCUGUCGGCUCUACGCGUGGUAAUACUCCUCGCGAUUGAGUCCGGUAGGUUUACUUGCCAGCAACCCCCAAUUUUUACAGGUUGACCUCGGAUCAGGUAGGGAUACCCGCUGAACUUAAGCAUAUCAAUAAGCGGAGGA